UCAGACGAUGCGUCAUGCAUAUCAAUAAGCGGAGGAAAAGAAACUAACAAGGAUUCCCUCAGUAACGGCGAGUGAAGCGGGAAGAGCUCAAAUUUGAAAUCUUGAAAGGUCACCUUUCACGAAUUGUAGUUCAAAGAAGUGUUUUCUGUUACGAUCGUAAUAUAAGUUCUUUGGAAUAGGACAUCACAGAGGGUGAGAAUCCCGUCUAUGAUUGCGAUUUGUAGCUUUGUGAUACACUUUCAAAGAGUCGGGUUGUUUGGGAAUGCAGCCCAAAACGGGAGGUAAAUUUCUUCUAAGGCUAAAUAUUGGCGAGAGACCGAUAGCGAACAAGUACCGUGAGGGAAAGAUGAAAAGAACUUUGAAAAGAGGGUUAAAUAGUACGUGAAAUUGUCAAAAGGGAAGCAUUUAACACCAGUGUUGUUUUCUGAAAAUCAACCUCUGUUAGCUUUAUGCAUGUUUGUUUAGACCUAAUCAGCUAUCUUGCAUGUUCUAUUGUUUGCAGUGGUGCACUUUUCAGUUUACAGGUCAACAUCAGUUUUUUUUACCGUAAAAAAGUUAAAGAAAGGUAGCUCAUGGCUCCGGUCGUGAGUGUUAUAGUCUUUUUCCUAUGCGGUAGGAGAGACUGAGGUCUGCAGUGUAGGCUAUUUGGCUAGAUACUCAGGUGCUAUGUGAUACCAUUUCAUAAACAACUUGUUGAUUAUGUUUUGUCUAUUGCAUACUCGCUUGUACUAUCAUACCUACGCUUAGGAUGUUGAAGACUCUACAGAGAUA
This 771-nucleotide ribosomal RNA is filed under the name uncultured Neocallimastigales. Its description in RNAcentral is "partial large subunit ribosomal RNA". It matches the Rfam family "Eukaryotic large subunit ribosomal RNA", at positions 18 to 640 of the family's 3401-position model. Lineage: Eukaryota; Fungi; Neocallimastigomycota; Neocallimastigomycetes; Neocallimastigales. The record is from RNAcentral.